Molecule: long non-coding RNA, 671 nt
Filed under: Callithrix jacchus (white-tufted-ear marmoset)
Lineage: Eukaryota; Metazoa; Chordata; Mammalia; Primates; Cebidae
Description: lncRNA (ENSCJAG00000077323.1)
Source: RNAcentral
UUAAUUACCUAUCUUAGGAUGCUUAAUUAGAUGGAAAACCUCCAAGUUCGAGAACAAGGUCAUAUUAAUCUCUGCCUCCAAGAGCCAAGGGAAGUGCCUGGAUCAUACACGAAGUCCCUCACUAGAUGCUGGCACCAUGUUCUUGGACUUUCCAGCCUUCAGAACUUCACUCAUGGACUCACCCAGAUCAACUUCCAGUUCUGCAAGCUCCAUUCUUAGUAAGUGCCCUAUACAGAUGUGCUGUUUGCUUUUACUUUUAGUCUUUCAUACCAUAUAUUUGCUGUCUCUUUUCUAUGUUUAAAUACCAAAUACCAGUGUGUCACAAUUGCUUUCAGUGUUUGGUACAGUAAUUGUGCUAUAUAGGUUUAUUGCCUAGGAGCAACAGGCUACCCCAUAGAGCCUAGGUGUAUUGUAGGCCAUACCAUCCAGGUUGGUGUAAGUACACUCUAUGAUGCUCACACAAUGAUGACAUCACCUAACGAUGCAUUUCUCCAAUUGUAUCCCAUUAUUAAGGGAUGCAUGACUCUAUUUUAGUGAUGGCUGUACAAAUCUCAAAGAAAAGUGGAGAAGACUAGGGCCAAGAUGGAGGGGCCAAGAAGUUACAAUUUGAGGAUGCUUUUUCUCAUUCAUUCAUUUAGUCAGUAAUUUUUUAUUCAGCAUCUACUGUGUCU